CUUGAAUGUAGAUUAGACUUGAGAAUCUUUAAAAGUUCAGGAAAUAUUUCGUAAUGUUUUGGUAAGUGUAUUUGGACAUAGACACAGUUGUAGUAGAGUGCUUUGUUGGUUUGAAUCUAGGACUCAUUUAAAAUCUGAAGAUGCAUUCACAGUUUUAGAGAGUAAUUUAGAGGUUUGUCUUUUAGGCAAAGAAUUUACUCCGUAGACAAUUUAGAUUUUAACUGAUUAUAAUGAAAGAACUUUUAAGACUUUCAGAUUCAUAAAUACUGGCUUUGGG
This 277-nucleotide unclassified non-coding RNA is filed under the name Hevea brasiliensis (rubber tree). Lineage: Eukaryota; Viridiplantae; Streptophyta; Magnoliopsida; Malpighiales; Euphorbiaceae. The record is from RNAcentral.